GGUUAAUGUAAAAUACUAGUUUUAAACACAGUCUAUGGUAUUAUACCCAUUAACAUUAGCUAGCUCUUGAAAAAGAAUCAGUACAGUGUAGUUUUGCCUGCUUGUGUUCUAAUGUGGAUCAUUUCACGUAGCUGACGUUACUUAACCAGUUUUGUAACGCUUGUGUUCAAUGUCGGGCUAGUUUACAGACAAAAUGCUCCUACUCUCCAACGUGAGGAGGUCUUUGGCUUUGGUGAGAAUUGCCAGGCAUCAAUUUAAUUUCAGGGUAACGGUUGGUAAUGCGCGAAUACCCUGUUUUCAUGGGACUUUCUCCACUGACUCUGCUGGUGUCAAGGUGUUGUAUGAUGGAGAGUGCCCCAUAUGUGUGAAAGAGAUCAGAUUCCUACAGUAUCUACAGAGGAACAGGCCAAGCAAAGUUGAUUUUGUGGACAUCUCGCUUCCAGGUUAUGAUCAAGUGAAGUAUCAAGGAAUCAGCUAUGAGAUGGCAAUGAAAGAAAUGACAGUAAUUGAUGGAAACAAUAAGGUUCAACAUGGAGUCCCAGCUUUCAAAGUGAUGUACACUGCUGUGGGUCUAGGCUGGCUGGGGCACAUCCUGAUGUGGCCACCUGUCAAACCGUUCAUGGACAAAAGCUAUGCCAUCUUUGCCAGAAAUCGUCUGAAGUGGACUGGACGUGACGAAUGCUCCUCAGGACGCUGUGUAAAGAAAGAGCCUUGAAACCUUAACAGGAAGUGAAUAUGGAAAAAUGGUCCGAUGGAGAAAAGCCUCCCUUGUCCUUAAGACUUUAUGGUCAAGUUACCACUAAAUAGAACUGAGUGUUACAGCUUGUCAGAAACACAUCCAAUUCUAGUCUAUCUGAACACUGUGAAACCUGAAGUUGCCACUAGAUGUCACUGUAGAGACAUGGAUUUGCCCAGGGAACGUGCUACAAUAUGGCAGACUUUAAAUUGUAAGUGAGGAGAUUCACUUCCAGGAAAGUUUGUGGGAUAAGACCCAAUGGCCAUGUAAAUGUGGCCUUUCCCCCAAAUAAUUUUUGCAAAUGUGUUUUUUGGAGAGCUAAAGGUGACGUUGUAAUAUUACAACAAGGGGUCUUACAGGGUUAAGAAUGUUCCUUCAGACUCUUUAGAUUGGAUGUUGUUUGAGACGGUUGACAUCAAAUGCAAUAAUAUAUCUUAAGAAAAUGUGCAGACCUUUGUUGGUGUUUUGUGCAUUCAGUUGCUUAUUCAUAGUAUUUCAUCUAUUUAAAUCUCCAUGAAGUAUGUGCUUUGUGUUGUGUAAUUCAAUUUAUAAUCUCUUACCGUCCCCAUGUUUAUACAACAAAUGAUCUCAGUACUGUACUAAGGACAGGAUGUGCCUAACCUUAGGCACGAGGCAAGACUUGCUGAGUGAUUUGUGUUGUUUACUAAACACGGAUCUUUGUGGCAUGUGGCACGUCUAUUUUAAGGUAUAUUUUGUUGACACAAAAACAAGCGUCAAAGUUAAAACCUUAAUUUGUUUCAGGCUGUUGUCAGUGUGGUUGGACAUGUAUAUUUACAAAUGUAGUGAAUAUAUUUAACAUAAUGCUAAGGCCAUAAACCAUUAACUGAUGGGGGAUGCCACAGUGAAAUAUACACAUUUCCUUCUAGGAAACUCAAUGAAA
Osmerus eperlanus (European smelt) is the source of this 1637-nucleotide RNA transcript. RefSeq lists it as uncharacterized. The transcript is spliced from 4 exons. The record is from RefSeq and is a predicted model, not a curated record. NCBI's taxonomy places the organism in Eukaryota, Metazoa, Chordata, Actinopteri, Osmeriformes, Osmeridae.